This 224-nucleotide unclassified non-coding RNA is filed under the name uncultured fungus. Its description in RNAcentral is "sequence contains ITS2". The record is from RNAcentral. Lineage: Eukaryota; Fungi.
AAAUUAUCAACCAUGACUUGGGUUUAGGCCCUCGUUCUUGGCUUGGAUUUGGGUGCUUGCGGUCUUGCGCUGCUCACCUCAAAAGGAUUAGCUGGACAUGUCGCGAGACUUGGUUCUACUUGGCGUAAUAAGUAUUUCGCUGAGGACAUCCCUCCUGGGGUGGCCAGGGUUCCGGCAAACGUCUGCUCUCUAACUCGAUCGUCCUCGGACAUCACUUUUUUAUG